This 475-nucleotide ribosomal RNA is filed under the name Lysinibacillus sp. RNAcentral's name for it is "bacterial SSU rRNA". It matches the Rfam family "Bacterial small subunit ribosomal RNA", at positions 864 to 1336 of the family's 1533-position model. Lineage: Bacteria; Bacillati; Bacillota; Bacilli; Caryophanales; Bacillaceae. The record is from RNAcentral.
GCACUCCGCCUGGGGAGUACGGUCGCAAGACUGAAACUCAAAGGAAUUGACGGGGGCCCGCACAAGCGGUGGAGCAUGUGGUUUAAUUCGAAGCAACGCGAAGAACCUUACCAGGUCUUGACAUCCCGUUGACCACUGUAGAGAUAUAGUUUCCCCUUCGGGGGCAACGGUGACAGGUGGUGCAUGGUCGUCGUCAGCUCGUGUCGUGAGAUGUUGGGUUAAGUCCCGCAACGAGCGCAACCCUUGAUCUUAGUUGCCAUCAUUUAGUUGGGCACUCUAAGGUGACUGCCGGUGACAAACCGGAGGAAGGUGGGGAUGACGUCAAAUCAUCAUGCCCCUUAUGACCUGGGCUACACACGUGCUACAAUGGACGAUACAAACGGUUGCCAACUCGCGAGAGGGAGCUAAUCCGAUAAAGUCGUUCUCAGUUCGGAUUGUAGGCUGCAACUCCGCCUACAUGAAGCCCGGAAUCGCU